UGAGGAAUAUUGGUCAAUGGGCGGAAGCCUGAACCAGCCAAGUCGCGUGAGGGAAGAAGGCCCUGCGGGUCGCAGACCUCUUUGGACGGGGAGCAAGGCCGCCGACGUGUCGGCGGAAGGAGAGUACCCGUAGAACUAGCAUCGGCUAACUCCGUGCC
This 158-nucleotide ribosomal RNA is filed under the name uncultured bacterium. RNAcentral's name for it is "partial 16S ribosomal RNA". It matches the Rfam family "Bacterial small subunit ribosomal RNA", at positions 355 to 509 of the family's 1533-position model. The record is from RNAcentral.